This 253-nucleotide ribosomal RNA is filed under the name uncultured bacterium. Its description in RNAcentral is "partial 16S ribosomal RNA". It matches the Rfam family "Bacterial small subunit ribosomal RNA", at positions 524 to 776 of the family's 1533-position model. The record is from RNAcentral.
UACGGAGGGGGCUAGCGUUGUUCGGAAUUACUGGGCGUAAAGCGCACGUAGGCGGCUUUGUAAGUUAGAGGUGAAAGCCCGGGGCUCAACUCCGGAAUUGCCUUUAAGACUGCAUCGCUCGAAUUGUGGAGAGGUAAGUGGAAUUCCGAGUGUAGAGGUGAAAUUUGUAGAUAUUCGGAAGAACACCAGUGGCGAAGGCGACUUACUGGACACAUAUUGACGCUGAGGUGCGAAAGCGUGGGGAGCAAACAGG